Molecule: ribosomal RNA, 491 nt
Filed under: uncultured bacterium
Lineage: Bacteria
Description: partial 16S ribosomal RNA
Rfam family: Bacterial small subunit ribosomal RNA
Source: RNAcentral
GUGAACGCUUGCGGUAGGCCUAACACAUGCAAGUCGAACGGCAGCACAGUAAGAGCUUGCUCUUACGGGUGGCGAGUGGCGGACGGGUGAGGAAUACAUCGGAAUCUACUUUUUCGUGGGGGAUAACGUAGGGAAACUUACGCUAAUACCGCAUACGACCUACGGGUGAAAGCAGGGGAUCUUCGUACCUUGCGCGAUUGAAUGAGCCGAUGUCGGAUUAGCUAGUUGGCGGGGUAAAGGCCCACCAAGGCGACGAUCCGUAGCUGGUCUGAGAGGAUGAUCAGCCACACUGGAACUGAGACACGGUCCAGACUCCUACGGGAGGCAGCAGUGGGGAAUAUUGGACAAUGGGCGCAAGCCUGAUACAGCCAUACCGCGUGGGUGAAGAAGGCCUUCGGGUUGUAAAGCCCUUUUGUUGGGAAAGAAAAGCAGCAGGUUAAUACCCCGCUGUUCUGACGGUACCCAAAGAAUAAGCACCGGCUAACUUCGUG